AAAUUCUGUUUCGGUUGCAGUUCCAUUGUGUGGAGCCAGUACUACAACUUUUCCUCCUGCAUUCAUUUCUCUUCCUGCUGCCUUGUGAAGAAGGUGCCUUGCUUCCCCUUCACCUUCUACGGUGAUUGCAAGUUGCCUGAGGAUUCCCCAGCCAUGUGAAACUUUCACAGAGUUUGAGAGAAACUGUAUUCAAGUUGCUGAAACCAAGAAGCUACACUCACGAGUCUCACCUAAACUCGAAUCUGAUUUAGAUGACAUCAUCCUGGACUUUGAGUUGAUGAAACCUUGGAGGUCUUGGGAGUAAAGCAAGUGUGAUUUGCAUAUGAUGGAUAUGAAUUGUAAUGGCCAGAGCAUGGCUGUGGGAACCAAGACUGAAUUCCAUAAUUUACAUGGAUGUUUGGAAGGUGUCUGCAACUUAAUCUGUGUUCGUUUCUGAGAUGUUGGGCAACUCCUUCUUGGAAGAUGUGGUAAUGGUCUCUUCGAAAAGAAAAUAAUCAUCUGAGUUUUGGCCAAAAUAGUUGAUCGGAUUACCUAUGAAAAUGACUCUCACCCAACUACAAGAAUGUUAU
Molecule: long non-coding RNA, 569 nt
Filed under: Homo sapiens (human)
Lineage: Eukaryota; Metazoa; Chordata; Mammalia; Primates; Hominidae
Description: smooth muscle induced lncRNA, enhancer of proliferation (SMILR)
Source: RNAcentral